Molecule: unclassified non-coding RNA, 586 nt
Filed under: Stenoglottis longifolia
Lineage: Eukaryota; Viridiplantae; Streptophyta; Magnoliopsida; Asparagales; Orchidaceae
Description: partial external transcribed spacer
Source: RNAcentral
UGCUUGAUCCUAUUGGCUGCUGCUCAUCGUUGCUUGGCUAAAUGCCGCCGAUGUUGCGCCGUCAUUGGGGCAUGCUUGUUUGGGUUGUUCAGAGACCGUUUGCGGCAUAUGAGUUGCUUUCAACUAUGCUCACCUUGAUCGGCGUACCCAGGAGCGUUGCUGAUCAUUGUUAGACCAUACGUGUUUCAUUUUGUCGGCCACUGAAAUCACAUUGAAUGUGGUUGAUGUAUUCCUCGUUGCUUGCGUUUGAUUCUGUCCACUAUACUGGCAUUGAAUUGUGAAAAAAGGUUGAUCCGUGCCUCUGCCUUCAAUGUGAAGAGAGGCGACGAUUUUGGACAGCGGUGCUUCUAUCCGCUCCUGCGUUAGGUGUAUGUGCCCAAACAAACAUCCUGUCCGUUGGUUGCUGAUCCAUAACUCCGCAUGUUGUUGUUAUAUGGAGGGGGCGAAUUAAGAAAAUAUCUUGGUGUCAUGUACACCUUGCUGAUGUGGGUUAUUUCUCGAGGCAAACUCGCCUCCUUUCCUCGUGCAACCAUGAAUACUCCCUUGCUGCCGCCCACUGGAUGGGUGAGUGGUUUGGGUUUGUUUU